AGUGAAUGCUGGCGGUAGGCCUAACACAUGCAAGUCGAACGGCAGCACAGUAAGCGCUUGCUCUUACGGGUGGCGAGUGGCGGACGGGUGAGGAAUACAUCGGAAUCUACUUUUUCGUGGGGGGUAACGUAGGGAAACUUACGCUAAUACCGCAUACGACCUACGGGUGAAAGCAGGGGAUCUUCGGACCUUGCGCGAUUGAAUGAGCCGAUGUCGGAUUAGCUAGUUGGCGGGGUAAAGGCCCACCAAGGCGACGAUCCGUAGCUGGUCUGAGAGGAGGAUCAGCCACACUGGAACUGAGACACGGUCCAGACUCCUACGGGAGGCAGCAGUGGGGAAUAUUGGACAAUGGGCGCAAGCCUGAUCCAGCCAUACCGCGUGGGUGAAGAAGGCCUUCGGGUUGUAAAGCCCUUUUGUUGGGAAAGAAAAGCAGCAGGUUAAUACCCCGCUGUUCUGACAGUACCCAAAGAAUAAGCACCGGCUAACUUCGUG
This 492-nucleotide ribosomal RNA is filed under the name uncultured bacterium. RNAcentral describes it as "partial 16S ribosomal RNA". It matches the Rfam family "Bacterial small subunit ribosomal RNA", at positions 29 to 507 of the family's 1533-position model. The record is from RNAcentral.